GUGAAUCAUCGAAUUUUUGAACGCAAAUUGCACUCUCUUCGGAGAGUAUGCCUGUUUGAGGGUCAGCCUAAAAAAAAUCGACAUAGUCGCUGUUUUGCGGUUACAUUUGUCGGGAAUUGGGUUAUCUUAAACCUUUUGGGUUUAAGCGGGUUAAAAUUUUCUUUUCGAUUCCACGGACGGUUCUAAGAUUUACUUUCACGUUUAAGGUAUCGGUCUUUUUUUGGCG
RNAcentral lists this unclassified non-coding RNA (226 nucleotides) under Glomus sp. RNAcentral describes it as "partial contains 5.8S ribosomal RNA and internal transcribed spacer 2". The stretch from base 1 to 65 matches the Rfam family "5.8S ribosomal RNA", at positions 84 to 154 of the family's 154-position model. The record is from RNAcentral. Lineage: Eukaryota; Fungi; Glomeromycota; Glomeromycetes; Glomerales; Glomeraceae.